GGGCUGGUAGCUCAGUCGGUAGAGCAGCGGACUUUUAAUCCGUUGGUCGCGGGUUCGAAUCCCGCCCAGCCCACCA
Molecule: transfer RNA, 76 nt
Filed under: Oligella ureolytica
Lineage: Bacteria; Pseudomonadati; Pseudomonadota; Betaproteobacteria; Burkholderiales; Alcaligenaceae
Also listed under: 4 other names
Description: tRNA-Lys
Rfam family: tRNA
About the family: Transfer RNA (tRNA) molecules are approximately 80 nucleotides in length. Their secondary structure includes four short double-helical elements and three loops (D, anti-codon, and T loops).
Source: RNAcentral